RNAcentral lists this transfer RNA (27 nucleotides) under Riccardia longispica. RNAcentral describes it as "partial tRNA-His". Lineage: Eukaryota; Viridiplantae; Streptophyta; Jungermanniopsida; Metzgeriales; Aneuraceae. The record is from RNAcentral.
GGGCGGACGUAGCCAAGUGGAUUAAGG